CUUGGUGCUUGUUGGAGUGCUGGGUGCACAGAGCUGAGCUGCCUCCUUAAUGAAGACAGGGCAUACAAGGUCCAUCUCUCUGAGAUUCCUCCCACUGAUGCUUGAGCGCUUCCACCAGUGCACCAGCAUCUUUGAAGAUGCCUAUUAUCAAAAGCUGUGCUGCCACAGGCUGCACCACUUCCUGGGCACCCUGGCACAGAGUACCGUUCCAAGAGAAGAGGCCUGUGCAAAGCAGAGAUAUAUCUAUUUGCAAGCUGAGUUUCUGUGUGGAGGAAGAAUGCUGACUGGAGAACUGUGAACAGCCAAGGCAGCUGCUUUUCAAAGGAAAGAGUUGCCUGUUGCUCCUUGCCAUUUGCCAGUAGUAGGGAAAACCACAUUAUUUCAUUGUCCUGUGAUGCAGCUCAGGAAAACUGCCAAAGGGUAGAAGCAGUGUUUGCUUCGGGAGUCCAGUCUUUCUUCAUUGAGUAAAUACUGCUGGAGUGAUGGGAAGAGGAGCCAGAUGGAAGUGGCAGUGUUUGCUGCUUCAUGCCUGCAACACUUGGCCUGGGCUUUUGCUGUCCAGAACUUUGAGAAGUGUCCAAGAAGGUGUACAAGAAAACCUGGUCCUUCUUUUGUCACUGGGCUGAUGGCUUUCUUACAAUGUGACUGAGCUGCCUCUUUGUUCUGUCUGAUGAGGUGCCUGUGGUGAGAAUCAUGUCUAUUUAUGACCGAAAGGGGAAGCAGAGAGGGAGAAGCCAAAUGCCCAUUUUUCUUCUGCCCCAGGCAGGAACAACCCAUACAAAACCAAUUGUACUCUUAGCUUGUUUGAGUCUGGACUUUUACAGAGAGAGGAGAUCCCUAGUUUUAGUUCUUGGGGGUAUUCAAAUGGCUCUGGCCUCCUCAUUUGCUUUGCACAAGUGAAGCGGGGCAGCCUAG
Molecule: non-coding RNA, 915 nt
Organism: Cyanistes caeruleus (blue tit)
Lineage: Eukaryota; Metazoa; Chordata; Aves; Passeriformes; Paridae
Source: RefSeq, a predicted model, not a curated record